RNAcentral lists this transfer RNA (71 nucleotides) under Salmonella enterica subsp. enterica serovar Muenchen. RNAcentral describes it as "tRNA-Trp". It matches the Rfam family "tRNA". Rfam says of the family: Transfer RNA (tRNA) molecules are approximately 80 nucleotides in length. Their secondary structure includes four short double-helical elements and three loops (D, anti-codon, and T loops). Lineage: Bacteria; Pseudomonadati; Pseudomonadota; Gammaproteobacteria; Enterobacterales; Enterobacteriaceae. RNAcentral also lists the same sequence under 30 other names. The record is from RNAcentral.
AGCCACGACGCCGGGCGAGCGUCGGUCUCCAAAACCGAGCGAAGAAGGUUCGAUCCCUUCUGUGGCUACCA